CGAAAGUCAAAACACAAUGCAGACAGUGGAUGCCUAGGUCUUGCACACCGAUGAAGGACGCACAUAGCAGCGAAAUGCGCCGGGUAGGAGCUACGAUCCGUUUAUCCGGCGGUGUCCGAAUAGGGAAACCUAGUUGGGGUUAUACCCAAUUGCUCUGUGGCCAAAUUGCUUCGCAUAAAGCUCACGACUUAAAAGAAAUUUUAAGGUCGCUGGUUUUGUGCGAAGCAUACUAACCAUAUGAGAGGGAACCUUCUGAACUGAAACAUCUAAGUAAGAAGAGGAACAAAAAUCAAAUGAGAUUCCGUCAGUAGCGGCGAGCGAAAGCGGAACAGCCUAAACCAUCAUGUGUGCCGCAAGGUGCAUGAGAUGGGGUUGCAGGACUUCAAUAUGUGAGUAAAAAAGAUAGCAGAAUAACAUGGAAAGGUUAAUCAUAGAGGGUGACAAUCCCGUAAGCGAAAUCUUUUUUACCGCUAGAAGUAUCCUAAGUACCACGAUACACAUAUACCGUGGGAAUCCGGGGGAACCAUCCUCCAAGGCUAAAUAUGUGGCAAGAACCGAUAGUGAACUAGUACCGUGAGGGAAAGGUGAAAAGAAGUGCGGAACGCACAGUUAAAAGAACCUGAAACUGUCUGCAGACAAACCGAGAGAGCAUUGAUUUAUCAGUGUGAUCUCGUGCCUAUUGAAGAAUGAACCGACGAGUUAUACGUAUAAGAAGCUAGCUUAAGCACUGUAAAGUGCGUAGGCUCAGUGAAAGCGAGGAUUAAUAGUCCGACCAAGUUUCUACGUAUAGACCCGAAACCGGGUGAUCUACUCAUGAGCAGGCUGAAGCUUCAAGAAAUUGAAGUGGAGGGCCGAACCCGUUGUUGUUGCAAUAACAUGGGAUGACUUGUGAGUAGGGGUAAAAUGCCAAUCGAACCCGGAGAUAGCUGGCUCUCCCCGAAAGGUCUUUGGGGACCGUGCCGUGUUUAUCAUUAAUGGAGGUAGAGCACUGGAUGAGAUGCUGAACGCAAGUGAGGUCUCUCAAUCAAACUCCGAAUUACAUUAGUGUCAACGGUAGAAAGUCAUAUCGGGCUAAGCUGAUAUGACGAGAGGGAAACAACCCAGAUCACCAGCUAAGGCCCCUAAUUUAAUGCUCAGUGGUAAAGGAAGUGGAAUCACCAAGACAGCCAGGAAGUUGGCUUAGAAGCAGCCACCUUUUAAAGAUAGCGUAACAGCUCACUGGUCAAGUGAUUCUGCGCCGAAGAUUUCGCGGGGCUCAAGCAUUAAGCCGAAGCUGUGAAUGUAAUAAUUUAUUAUUACGUGGUAGGGGAGCGUUCUUAUUGCAGUGAAGCUGUACUGUAAAGUAUGGUGGAGCGAUAAGAAGUGAGGAUGUCGGUAUAAGUAGCGCACAAGGAAAGUGAGAAUCUUUCCCGCCGAAUGCCCAAGGUUUCCGUCGCAAGGUUCGUCCGCGACGGGUAAGUCGGCUCCUAAGACGAGGUCCCAAGGACGUAGUCGAUGGACAACUGGUUAAUAUUCCAGUACUUGUGGUAAAUCGUUAUCAAUAAAGGACUGACCGGGUAAAUGCGUACAUACUCCUUCGUGAAGUGGAGUGCAGAAGUUUCGUGUGUGCUUGUAGGAAAAUCCGCAAGUGCGUUUAACGAAAUGGUGCUAAUCUGGCGAGAGCCGGGUGACAUGUAUUAAUAGCCUGCAAGAAAAGGUUCGUUAUGAGAUUUAUCAUAAGCCGUACCGCAAACCGACACAGGUGGGCUGGUCGAGUAGACCAAGGUGAUCGAGAGACAGAAGUUUAAGGAACUCGGCAAAAAAGCUACCCGUAACUUCGGGAGAUGGGUUGCCUCAACGUGAGUUGGGGCCACAGCCAAAGUUUAUUAGCCGACUGUUUAUCAAAAACACAGGUCCGUGCAAAAGUGAAAACUUACGUAUACGGGCUGACGCCUGCCCAGUGCUGGUAAGUUAAGUGGAUGGGUGCUUGUACCUUCGGGUACAUGAUGCUUUGAAAUGAAGCUCCAGUAAACGGCAGCAGUAACUAUAACUGUUCUACGGUGAAACAUAUUCGCCGCCGUAGUAAAAUUUGACCAAAUGCUGGAAACGCUCGCGUAUCUGACAGUACGAGUUUUAAAGGAAUUUAAAACCGUGACAAUCUGAUCAGUGGAGCCAAUCAGCAGGAAAGAUCAAAAACUAGAAAUAGCGUAGUGUCGAUAAACAAUUUCCUUAAAGAAAUGUACAUGCAGAGGCGCAAAAAAAGUUUGUUAGUAGUUUGACUCCGAAAAGAAAGAACCUUUCUCACAAUGAAAAAUGAAGCUAAUUGCAGUUUACUGCGUUAGUGGAUUAACUAAUUGUGUAGACCAAGUUUAUUUUUUCGAAUCGGUGUUAGUAAUAGCGCUUGCAUAUUUCAAAAAGAAAUUUUUAAAGACAAGACCUAUUCGUGUUUUUGGAAUCCUCAGAGACUAAUACGUCAAACACUUUCUUUAUUAGAGAAAGUGAUGAUAGAGUCCGACCUUCAUGGCGACAUGAAGCUUUGUGAAAGUCACAAAGCAUCCCUUAAAAGAUGUAACACAACGUUAACCUUUAAAAAGUUAAUAGAAUGAGCGAAGUUCCUUGUCGGGUAAGUUCCGACCCGCACGAAUGGCGUCACGAGCUAAUAACUGUCUUAAACUUCUACUCGGCGAAAUUGCGGUGGCUGUGAAGACGCGGCCUAAUUCCACUUGGACAAAAAGACCCCGUGAAGCUUUACUGUAGUCUGGCAUUGAGUCGUAUGUCUCAAUUGUUUAGCGUAGGAGGGAGUGCUUGCACGAUCCUGAAACACCUCCCGUUGAUAUAUGCGAAUCUCACCCAAGGGCCCUAGACGGGUCCGGGGAACGUGUCAGAUUGGCAGUUUUACUGGGGCGGUACCCUGCCAAAGUGUAACGCAGGGACACAAAGGUCGGCUUACCACGGAUGGAAAUCGUGGGGAAAGCGCAAAGGUUUAAGCCGGCUUGACUGCGACACCGAUGGGUGAAGCAGGUACGAAAGUAGGUCUUCGUGAUCCUCCACUCCGCAAUGGUUGCGGAUGGAGCUUAAUGGAUAAAAGCUACUCCGGGGAUAACAGAGUAGUCGCGCCCGAGAGUCCAUAUCGACGGCGCGGUUCGCUACCUCGAUGUCGGCUCAGCACAUCCUGGGGCCGGAGAAGGUCCCAAGGGUCGGUCUGUUCGCCCGUUAAAGUGCUACGUGAGCUGGGUUCAGAACGUCGUGAGACAGUUCGGACUCUAUCCAGUGGAAUCGUUCGAGUUUUGAAAGGAGCUGGCCUCAGUACGAGAGGACCAGGCUGGGGGAAUCCCUAGUGUGCCGGUUGUGACGUCAGUCGCAACGCCGGGUAGCUACAUUCCCAUAUGAUAACCGCUGAAAGCAUCUAAGUGGGAAGCAUGCCUUGAGAUAAGAACUCGUCAUUAGACUCCUGGAAGACCACCAGGUUGAUCGGCAGGAACUGGAAGCACCGCAAGGUGUUAAGGUUACCAUGUACGAAUCAGUCGAAUCGGCUUUCGGA
RNAcentral lists this ribosomal RNA (3520 nucleotides) under Candidatus Woesebacteria bacterium. RNAcentral describes it as "23S ribosomal RNA". It matches the Rfam family "Bacterial large subunit ribosomal RNA". Lineage: Bacteria; Candidatus Woeseibacteriota. The record is from RNAcentral.